RNAcentral lists this transfer RNA (80 nucleotides) under Cordylochernes scorpioides. Its description in RNAcentral is "tRNA-Thr". Lineage: Eukaryota; Metazoa; Arthropoda; Arachnida; Pseudoscorpiones; Chernetidae. The record is from RNAcentral.
ACCCUGGACGUAUUUGCCUAUUGGACAUGACAUCUGCCCGGUAAGCGGAAGGUUGUGGGUUCGAUUCCCGCCCCUGGACA